Molecule: ribosomal RNA, 776 nt
Filed under: uncultured Neocallimastigales
Lineage: Eukaryota; Fungi; Neocallimastigomycota; Neocallimastigomycetes; Neocallimastigales
Description: partial large subunit ribosomal RNA
Rfam family: Eukaryotic large subunit ribosomal RNA
Source: RNAcentral
AGAGAGAGACAUGCGCGCAUAUCAAUAAGCGGAGGAAAAGAAACUAACAAGGAUUCCCUUAGUAACGGCGAGUGAAGCGGGAAGAGCUCAAAUUUGAGAUCUUCAAGGUUUUACCUUGACGAAUUGUAGUUUAAAGAAGUGUUUUCUGCUGAAGUUUUGGUAAAAGUUCUUUGGAAUAGGACAUCAUAGAGGGUGAGAAUCCCGUAUUUGACCAUUAUUUUCAGCUUUGUGAUACACUUUCAAAGAGUCGGAUUGUUUGGGAAUGCAGUCCAAAAUGGGUGGUAAAUUUCAUCUAAAGCUAAAUAUUGGCGAGAGACCGAUAGCGAACAAGUACCGUGAGGGAAAGAUGAAAAGAACUUUGAAAAGAGAGUUAAACAGUACGUGAAAUUGUCAAAAGGGAAGCGUUUGACACCAGUGUUGUUUUCUCGAAAAUCAAUUAAAAAUGGCUCGAUUUUGUAUUGUUGAGACCUUAAAAGCUCACUGUACAUUUUUCGUGUCUUUUUUAAUGCACUUUUCGUUUAACAAGUCAACAUCAGUUUCCUUUUGUUGUAAAAGGGUCAUUGGAAGGUGGCUUUCUUUUCGGAGAAAGUGUUUUAUAGCCUUUGGCCUCUGCAAUCGAAGAGACUGAGGUCUGCAGCGUAGACUCUUCGGGGUUAGAUACAUUUGUGCUAAGUUAUAGCUUUUUAUAGACAACUUGUUGACUAUAAUUAGUCUUGUAGCUUACUCGCUUAUGCUAUUUUACCUACGCUUAGGAUGUUGAAGAUGUAGCACAUCAU